CCCACCCACGUAGGAACACGUUUCUCAACCCGUACACAGGCCCUCCAUUUGCCAGAGAGGAAGAGAAAACACAUCCAGACCCAGGGCCACCUCCUCAGCCAACCUGGAGAAGCUGCUGUCCUCCCCCCACCCACCCGCCUCCCGGCUGCUCCAUCUUGAGGCUGCUCCUCAGGCCCUGGCCACUGGCCCAUCCACCUCCUGGAGCUUUGCCAGGUGCUCCUGGGCUGGGCUCUGCAGCCCAGAUGCAGCUAUGUCCCAGGACCCUCCUCACGUCUUCCGCUUGCCCCAAGGGCUGCCCGGCUCACCAGGGUCUGCGUGCUCACUGGGCCUUACCAGCCCCUUGAGUCAGGAGCCUGCUUCCCCACCUGCCCAGAACCUGGGAUGGCACCCCAACUCCUUCCUCCCCCCAACAGGUCUCCAACUGCCUGUGAGCUCAGAAGGACCUCUGAACUCGGCCCCCAGCCCCCACUUCCUCCAACUGGCCACCACAGCAUGCACCAGGUCUCCAACCGCCCGUGAGCUCAGAAGGACCUCUGAACUCGGCCCCCAGCCCCCACUUUCUCCAACUGGUCACUACAGCAUGUACCAGGGUCUCCAACCGCCCGUGAGCUCAGAAGGACCUCUGAACUCGGCCCCCAGCCCCCACUUCCUCCAACUGGCCACCACAGCAUGCACCAGGGUCUCCAACCACCCAUGAGCUCAGAAGGACCUCUGAACUCGGCCCCCAGCCCCCACUUCCUCCAACUGGCCACCACAGCAUGCACCAGGGUCUCCAACCACCCAUGAGCUCAGAAGGACCUCUGAACUCGGCCCCCAGCCCCCACUUCCUCCAACUGGCCACUACAGCAUGCACCAGGUCUCCAACCACCCGUGAGCUCAGAAGGACCUCUGAACUCGGCCCCCAGCCCCCACUUCCUGGAACUAGCCACCACAGCAUGCACCUGGUCUCCUGCCCCAGGGACUGCCAGGGCACAUGUGCCAACUGCAGCCGACCCCAUCACCCCGGCACGCUGUCCCUGCCACCAGCGCCCUCCAGAUCAGGCUGUCUCUGCCCCACUCCCGUCACAGACACGGGCCUGGUCCGGGAGCGCUCCCUGCUGGCACCUGGGAAAGCAGCUUUCAGGGACAUACACCUGGGGGUGGGGCUAGAGCUGCAGAGUGACACCCAGGGCGGCAAGGCGGCCGGUGGCCCUGACAGGCUCCCCAGCCCUCACGGGGAGAGACGCAGGAACGCAGGCACCAGAGCCCUGGUCUGAGAGGCCAGAGGCUGGUGGCGGAAGAGGAAGAGCAGCUCAGAGGGAGGGGCUUGCUCUGGCCACAGGGUCCCAGUGAAGUGGCCGAAGACGACGCAGCCAAGCACAGCCAGGAGCACAUGGGGCUCUGAGGGUCCCCUGCUCACGCACACAGGGUGCUGGGAAGGGCUGGGAGGGGACCCACAGACGCAGGGGCUGGACGGGGCCAUGAAGGCAA
Molecule: non-coding RNA, 1470 nt
Organism: Microcebus murinus (gray mouse lemur)
Lineage: Eukaryota; Metazoa; Chordata; Mammalia; Primates; Cheirogaleidae
Source: RefSeq, a predicted model, not a curated record